Molecule: ribosomal RNA, 240 nt
Filed under: Salmonella enterica
Lineage: Bacteria; Pseudomonadati; Pseudomonadota; Gammaproteobacteria; Enterobacterales; Enterobacteriaceae
Also listed under: 1 other name
Description: partial 23S ribosomal RNA
Rfam family: Bacterial large subunit ribosomal RNA
Source: RNAcentral
GCAUCACUGGUGUUCGGGUUGUCAUGCCAAUGGCACUGCCCGGUAGCUAAAUGCGGAAGAGAUAAGUGCUGAAAGCAUCUAAGCACGAAACUUGCCCCGAGAUGAGUUCUCCCUGAGACUUUGAGUCUCCUGAAGGAACGUUGAAGACGACGACGUUGAUAGGCCGGGUGUGUAAGCGCAGCGAUGCGUUGAGCUAACCGGUACUAAUGAACCGUGAGGCUUAACCUUACAACGCCGAAG